RNAcentral lists this long non-coding RNA (1757 nucleotides) under Homo sapiens (human). RNAcentral describes it as "non-protein coding lnc-LRCH2-2:1". Lineage: Eukaryota; Metazoa; Chordata; Mammalia; Primates; Hominidae. The record is from RNAcentral.
AAACCUGGGGCAUGAACUCUUUUGGGGGGCGGGAGAAUUUGGAGUUUAUUAUUUUAUGCAAAGCAUUGAGACAGUCAUUAUGGGAAAAACCUAAAUAUAGCUUAGAGCAUAUCUUUUAAAUUCUAAAUCACAUAUAAAGUGGAGGCACUGCAAUCUUUUCAUGGCUUAGUGCCUUUAUAGGGCUUAAUCCAGCCCUGUAACUCAGGCAUUUACAGGUCAAAAAUGAAUAUAUAUUGUGGUGGGCAGGAGGUAUAUGGGAACUUUGUACUUUCUGCUCACUUUCCCUGUGGAUCUCAAACUGCUCUACAAAUAAGCCCCUGUUAAAAAAAAAAAAAAGGAGAUGAAGGUUCCCUUACAUCAACUGUUUAAGAGUCGGUCUGUAAGAAGCAACAACCUCUCCUCUUCAUCUCUGUCAUCUGCCAGGCAGCUGUGAAACAGAAACCAAGCCCUUGCCCAAGCAGUGUUUGUAGACCUGGAACCCAUGGUCAUUGACGAAGUUUGCUCUGGCACAUACCGUGAGCUCUUCCAACCUGAGCAUAUCAUCACGGGCAAGGAAGAUGCUGCCAAUAAUUAUGCCCGAGGGCACUACACCAUUGGCAAGGAGAUAAUUGACUUCAUGUUGGGCCAAAUUCAUAAACUGGCCAACUUGUGCACAGGUCUUCGGGGCUUCUUGGUUUUCACAGCUUUGGCAGGGGAACUGGUUCUGGGUUCACCUCCCUGCUCAUGGAAUGUCUCUCUGUUGACUAUGGUAAGAAAUCCGAGCUGGAGUUCUCCAUUUACCCAGCUCCUCAGGUUUCCAUACCUGUACUAGAGCCCUACAAUUCCACUCUCACCACCCACAUCACCCUGGAGCACUCCGAUUGUGCUUUCAUGAUAGACAGUGAGGCCAUUUAGGGCAUCUGUUAUAGAAACCUUGAUAUUAAGCCCCCAACCUACACUAACCUAAAUAGGUUCAUAGGUCAAAUUGUGUCCUCUGUCACUGCUUCCCUGAGAUUUGAUGGAACCCUAAAUAUUGAUCUGACAGAACUCCAGACCAACCUGGAGUCCUAUCCCUGCAUCCACUUCUCUCUGGGCAACUAUGCCCUCUGAUAUGAUUUGGCUCUGUGUCCCCACCCAAAUCUCAUUUUGUAGCUACCAUAAUCCCCAUGUGUUGUGGGAGAGACUUGGUGGAAGAUGAUUAAAUCAUGGGGGUGGGUCUUUCCAGUGCUGUUUUCAUGAUAGUGAAUAACUCUCACAAGACCUGUUGGCUAUUAGAAACUGGAGUUUCUCUGCACAAGCUCUCUCUUUGCCUGCUGCCAUCCAUGUAAGAUGUGACUUGCUCCUCCUUGUCUUCCACCAUGAUUGUGAGGCCUCCCCAGCCAUGUGGAGCUGUAAGUCCAAUAAACCUCUUGCUUUUGUAAAUUGCCCAGCCUUGUGUAUGUCUUUAUCAGCAGUAUGAAAACAAACUAAUACACCCUCAUCAUCUCUACUGGGAAAGCCUACCAUAGACAGCUUUCUGUAGCAGAGAUUACCAAUGCUUUCUUUGAGCAAGCCAGCCAGGUGGUGAAACAUGACCCUUACUAUGGUAAAUACAUGGCUUGCUGCUUGUUGUACCAUAAAGAUGUGGUUCCCAAAGAUGUCAGUGCUGCCAUUGCCACCAUCAAGACCGAGCGUACCAUCCAGUCUGUGGAUUGGUGCCCCACUGGCUUCAAGAUGGCAUUAAUUACUAGCCUCCCACUGUGGUGCCUGGCAGAGACCUGACUGAGAUACAGAGAGCU